AUUGAACGCUGGCGGCAGGCCUAACACAUGCAAGUCGAACGGUAACAGGAAGCAGCUUGCUGCUUUGCUGACGAGUGGCGGACGGGUGAGUAAUGUCUGGGAAACUGCCUGAUGGAGGGGGAUAACUACUGGAAACGGUAGCUAAUACCGCAUAACGUCGCAAGACCAAAGAGGGGGACCUUCGGGCCUCUUGCCAUCGGAUGUGCCCAGAUGGGAUUAGCUAGUAGGUGGGGUAACGGCUCACCUAGGCGACGAUCCCUAGCUGGUCUGAGAGGAUGACCAGCCACACUGGAACUGAGACACGGUCCAGACUCCUACGGGAGGCAGCAGUGGGGAAUAUUGCACAAUGGGCGCAAGCCUGAUGCAGCCAUGCCGCGUGUAUGAAGAAGGCCUUCGGGUUGUAAAGUACUUUCAGCGGGGAGGAAGGGAGUAAAGUUAAUACCUUUGCUCAUUGACGUACCCGCAGAAGAGCACCGCA
RNAcentral lists this ribosomal RNA (478 nucleotides) under Escherichia coli. RNAcentral's name for it is "bacterial SSU rRNA". It matches the Rfam family "Bacterial small subunit ribosomal RNA", at positions 30 to 497 of the family's 1533-position model. The record is from RNAcentral. Lineage: Bacteria; Pseudomonadati; Pseudomonadota; Gammaproteobacteria; Enterobacterales; Enterobacteriaceae.